GUGGGGAAUAUUGGACAAUGGGCGCAAGCCUGAUCCAGCCAUGCCGCGUGAGUGAUGAAGGCCUUAGGGUUGUAAAGCUCUUUCAGUAGGGAAGAUAAUGACGGUACCUACAGAAGAAGCCCCGGCUAACUUCGUGCCAGCAGCCGCGGUAAUACGAAGGGGGCUAGCGUUGUUCGGAUUUACUGGGCGUAAAGCGCACGUAGGCGGAUUGGUCAGUUAGAGGUGAAAUCCCGAAGCUCAACUUCGGAACUGCCUUUAAUACUGCCAGUCUCGAGUCCGGAAGAGGUGAGUGGAACUCCUAGUGUAGAGGUGGAAUUCGUAGAUAGUAGGAAGAACACCAGUGGCGAAGGCGGCUCACUGGUCCGGUACUGACGCUGAGGUGCGAAAGCGUGGGGAGCAAACAGGAUUAGAAACCCGAGUAGUCC
Molecule: ribosomal RNA, 425 nt
Filed under: uncultured bacterium
Lineage: Bacteria
Description: partial 16S ribosomal RNA
Rfam family: Bacterial small subunit ribosomal RNA
Source: RNAcentral